Molecule: transfer RNA, 73 nt
Filed under: Dallia pectoralis (Alaska blackfish)
Lineage: Eukaryota; Metazoa; Chordata; Actinopteri; Esociformes; Umbridae
Description: tRNA-iMet
Rfam family: tRNA
About the family: Transfer RNA (tRNA) molecules are approximately 80 nucleotides in length. Their secondary structure includes four short double-helical elements and three loops (D, anti-codon, and T loops). Further hydrogen bonds mediate the characteristic L-shaped molecular structure. tRNAs have two regions of fundamental functional importance: the anti-codon, which is responsible for specific mRNA codon recognition, and the 3' end, to which the tRNAs corresponding amino acid is attached (by aminoacyl-tRNA synthetases). tRNAs cope with the degeneracy of the genetic code in two manners: having more than one tRNA (with a specific anti-codon) for a particular amino acid; and 'wobble' base-pairing, i.e. permitting non-standard base-pairing at the 3rd anti-codon position.
Source: RNAcentral
AGCAGAGUGGCGCAGCGGAAGCGUGCUGGGCCCAUAACCCAGAGGACGAUGGAUUGAAACCACGCCUCUGCUA